This 775-nucleotide ribosomal RNA is filed under the name uncultured Neocallimastigales. Its description in RNAcentral is "partial large subunit ribosomal RNA". It matches the Rfam family "Eukaryotic large subunit ribosomal RNA", at positions 18 to 616 of the family's 3401-position model. Lineage: Eukaryota; Fungi; Neocallimastigomycota; Neocallimastigomycetes; Neocallimastigales. The record is from RNAcentral.
UCAGACGAUGCGUCAUGCAUAUCAAUAAGCGGAGGAAAAGAAACUAACAAGGAUUCCCCUAGUAACGGCUGAGUGAAGCGGGAAGAGCUCAAAUUUGAAAUCUUAAAGGGUUUCCCUUUACGAAUUGUAGUUUAAAGAAGUGUUUUCUGUUGAGGUUUUGGUAAAAGUUCUUUGGAAUAGGACAUCAUAGAGGGUGAGAAUCCCGUAUUUGACCUUUACUUUCAACUUUGUGAUACACUUUCAAAGAGUCGGAUUGUUUGGGAAUGCAGUCCAAAAUGGGUGGUAAAUUUCAUCUAAAGCUAAAUAUUGGCGAGAGACCGAUAGCGAACAAGUACCGUGAGGGAAAGAUGAAAAGAACUUUGAAAAGAGAGUUAAACAGUACGUGAAAUUGUCAAAAGGGAAGCGUUUGACACCAGUGUUGUUUUUCUGAAAAUCAAUUAAAGAACUGUUUAUGCUAAGUUGUUUAGACUUUAUCAGCUAACUGUUUAGUUUUGAGCUUUUCUUUAAUGCACUUUUCAGUUAACAAGUCAACAUCAAUUUCUUUUGCUGUAAAAAAGCUUGAGGAAGGUGGCUUGAGAUUCGUCUUAAGUGUUUAUAGCCUCUUGCCUAUGCAGUCGGAGAGAUUGAGGUCUGCAGCGUAGAUCCUUCGGGGCUAAAUGCAUUUGUGCUAAGUUAUAGCAUUUUAUAGACAACUUGUUGACUAUGAUUUGUCUUGUAGCUUACUCGCUUAUGUUAUUUUACCUACGCUUAGGAUGUUGAGCGCAUGUCUCUCUCU